AAUAUUGCACAAUGGGGGAAACCCUGAUGCAGCGACGCCGCGUGAAGGAAGAAGGCCUUCGGGUUGUAAACUUCGUUGACCAGGGGCGAAAAAAUGACGGUACCUGGAGAACAAGCCACGGCUAACUACGUGCCAGCAGCCGCGGUAAUACGUAGGUGGCGAGCGUUGUCCGGAAUUACUGGGUGUAAAGGGCGUGUAGGCGGGUUCUUAAGUCAGAUGUGAAAUUCCGGGGCUCAACUCCGGAGCUGCAUCUGAAACUGGGGAUCUUGAGUGCUGGAGGGGAAAGUGGAAUUCCUAGUGUAGCGGUGAAAUGCGUAGAGAUUAGGAGGAACACCAGUGGCGAAGGCGGCUUUCUGGACAGUAACUGACGCUGAGGCGCGAAAGCGUGGGGAGCAAACAGG
This 401-nucleotide ribosomal RNA is filed under the name uncultured bacterium. Its description in RNAcentral is "partial 16S ribosomal RNA". It matches the Rfam family "Bacterial small subunit ribosomal RNA", at positions 360 to 776 of the family's 1533-position model. The record is from RNAcentral.